This 27-nucleotide non-coding RNA is filed under the name Mus musculus (house mouse). The record is from RNAcentral. Lineage: Eukaryota; Metazoa; Chordata; Mammalia; Rodentia; Muridae.
UCUCUAGCUUUGUUCUGGAAGGUGAUC